This 117-nucleotide ribosomal RNA is filed under the name Danio rerio (zebrafish). Lineage: Eukaryota; Metazoa; Chordata; Actinopteri; Cypriniformes; Danionidae. The record is from RNAcentral.
UGCAAGAGUGCAAGUGUAUUUCCAGCCCUAGACGAUUACUCACUGAAGAUAAGCAGGGCUGAGCCUGGUCAGUACCUGGAUGGGAGACCAUUUGGGAUAACUAGGUUGCUUUUGGAA